UUGAUUAAACUUCAUUGAUAACCUAUACUAAUGAAUAGGCUUUUUCCAAUAUAUAAAAAAAGUGAUUGCUAAACACAUCUCAAAAAUGGAUUUUAUUUUCGUCUUAUUCAUUUUUACUUCAGCAUUUCUAAAUUUUAACUCGGCCACAAACUGGGCGCAAAUCCAGCCUUUGAAACAAAACGCAGCAAUUCUCAACAAAAUUCCAUGGGAGAGUGACAGAAUAUUUGGUGGAGUGGAAGCUGACAGAGGAGAAUUCCCAUUCAUGGCGGCCUUAAUUUUGGACGACGUAGCCCUUUGUGGAGGAACAAUAAUAUCCAGCACAUCAGUUCUCACUGGAGCUCAGUGUUUAAUUGGUUUCCAAAGCUGCGUUGUGCACUUGGGAUUGCACAAUUUGACAGACGACGGGGAAACCGGCCGCAUUAUUGUCAAAGCGAGCAAAACCAUUCCGCAUGAAGAAUUUAGCCAAAUCAAUCUAGACAAUGAUGUUGGCGUCGUCAAAUUGCCUUUUUCCGUAGAAGCCUCAAAUAUUUCUCCUGUCAAUUUACCAAGCAGGUCUUUUGUGGAAGGAAAUUCUUUCGAAGGCUACACAUCACGAAUUUUUGGCUGGGGCUUAAUGCCUGGCGCUACGAAUUUCACUGACAUUUUGCAAACGACCGAAUCGAUUGUGAUCAAUAAUGCAGAAUGCCAGGAUCUUUUCCCUUUUGUUCCAUACGUCACACCUCUGAAAAUUUGCCUCGAUAACGUCGGCGCGUCCGGCGCCUGUGUGGGUGACGCUGGAGGUCCUGCAGUGGUGCAGAGGCCAGAAGAUGGAAAAUUUGUUCAAAUCGGGAUAAUAAGCUUUUCUGCUGGAAAAUGUGGCUACAGUUUGCCUAAUCACGAUGGUGAGCCUGGCAAGAAGCCCCAGUCGCUCAGCAGUUGUUGGUGGCUUUUCUUUCGCCAACGAAAACUCCAUCAACACCGAUGACGACGAGAUUCGCAUUUUGCAGCCGGUCCUGGGCUGCGAGGACGAGUUUUUCCAGCCCCUCGGCACAGUCACUUGCGCAGUUUUCCAGAUCAUAGUUUGCGUUUUAUUCUCUGUGCUGGCCAUCGCUCUUGUCCUGGCUUGGCCUCUGGAAAGACACGCCUGUGAGCCGUUUUACUUCAUGGCCUAUGGUCAGAUUUUCUUUUGGAUUUUUAUGAUG
Neocloeon triangulifer is the source of this 1181-nucleotide RNA transcript. It is a transcript of the gene named transmembrane protein 192, with no coding region annotated. NCBI's taxonomy places the organism in Eukaryota, Metazoa, Arthropoda, Insecta, Ephemeroptera, Baetidae. The record is from RefSeq and is a predicted model, not a curated record. The transcript is spliced from 10 exons.